Long non-coding RNA from Vidua macroura (Pin-tailed whydah), 606 nucleotides. RefSeq lists it as uncharacterized. NCBI's taxonomy places the organism in Eukaryota, Metazoa, Chordata, Aves, Passeriformes, Viduidae. The transcript is spliced from 7 exons. The record is from RefSeq and is a predicted model, not a curated record.
UGAGGGCGGCCCCGCCCGCCCCGCUCCCGGCCGCGGGUCAGCGCCGAUCCGCACCCGCCUGCGGUUUAUCGACCCCGCAGUGGCCGGCAGGGGCCCGCUCCUCCGUGGAGCGCAGCUGUAGGCGGGGAGGAGCCGCUGUCCCGAAAGGAGCGCCUGGCACCAUGGCAAGGCCUAAAAAGAGACACAUAUAAUUUGAAGUUCACAACAGUGAUCAACAAACCAGUGGAAUUAUAGAUGAAGAACUGUUCUGUGGUGUUUAAAAUGUGUCUUUGCAUUUCCUGCAUAACUGGAUCCUAGCUCAUUAAGGAGAAUGCCUUCAAAUUAGUGACUUCAAAUGGAAUUCAAGAGAGAGUUAGUUCUAUUUGAGGGAGAUGGUUGUAAUCUGUUAAGAGUCAGUUUUUCAGCAAAGAAAGACCACAGAAUGUGGCUUGGAGAUGCAUUGAAUAGGCUUUCUUCAAGGUUCAUCAUGUCAGGGUAAUGCAAGAUAAGAAUUUUUACUUACUGGAGGACCAGGUGGACCAGAAGGAAGCCUGGAAUAUACACUCCUUGCUUGCAUGGAACUUGAAUGGAAACACAAAUAUGUUGUACUCACUGCAUCACCCUUGG